RNAcentral lists this ribosomal RNA (468 nucleotides) under uncultured bacterium. RNAcentral describes it as "partial 16S ribosomal RNA". It matches the Rfam family "Bacterial small subunit ribosomal RNA", at positions 28 to 507 of the family's 1533-position model. The record is from RNAcentral.
GACGAACGCUGGCGGCGUGCUUAACACAUGCAAGUCGAACGGAAAGGCCCUGCUUUUGUGGGGUGCUCGAGUGGCGAACGGGUGUGUAACACGUGAGUAACCUGCCCUUGACUUUGGGAUAACUUCAGGAAACUGGGGCUAAUACCGGAUAGGAGUUCCUGCUGCAUGGUGGGGGUUGGAAAGUUUCGGCGGUUGGGGAUGGACUCGCGGCUUAUCAGCUUGUUGGUGGGGUAGUGGCUUACCAAGGCUUUGACGGGUAGCCGGCCUGAGAGGGUGACCGGCCACAUUGGGACUGAGAUACGGCCCAGACUCCUACGGGAGGCAGCAGUGGGGAAUAUUGCACAAUGGGCGGAAGCCUGAUGCAGCAACGCCGCGUGCGGGAUGACGGCCUUCGGGUUGUAAACCGCUUUCGCCUGUGACGAAGCGUGAGUGACGGUAAUGGGUAAAGAAGCACCGGCUAACUACGUG